GUAGUUUCAGUAGAGAGAGGAGUUUCUGUAGUUUCAGUAGAGAAAAGAGUUUCAGUAGUUUCAGUAGAGAGAGGAGUUUUAGUAGUUUCAGUCGAGAGAGGACUUUCAGUAGUUUCAGUAGAGAGAGGAGUUUCAGUAGAGAGAGGAGAGAGAGGAGAGAGAGGAGUUUCAGUAGUUUCAGUAGAGAGAGGAGAGAGGAGUUUCAGUAGUUUCAGUAGAAAGAGGAGAGAGAGCAGUUUCAGUAGUUUCAGUAGAGAGAGGAGAGAGAGGAGAGAGGAGAGAGAGGAGAGAGAGAGAGAGAGAGAGAGAGAGAGAGAGAGAGAGAGAGAGAGUGGACUUUCAGUAGUUUCAGUAGAGAGAUGAGUUUCAGUAGUUUCAGUAGAGAGAGGAGAGAGAGGAGAGAGAGGAGUUUCAGUAGUUUCAGUAGAGAGGGGAGAGAGAGGAGAGAGAGGAGAGAGAGGAGAGAGAGGAGUUUCAGUAGUUUCAGUAGAGAGAGGACUUUCAGUAGUUUCAGUAGAGAGAGGAGAGAGAGGAGUUUCAGUAGAGAGAGGAGAGAGAGGAGUUUCAGUAGUUUCAGUAGAGAGGGGAGAGAGAGGAGAGAGAGGAGAGAGAGGAGUUUCAGUAGUUUCAGUAGUUUCAGUAGAGAGAGGAGAGAGAGGAGAGAGAGGAGAGAGAGGGGAGAGAGGAGUUUCAGUAGUUUCAGUAGAGAGAGGAGAGAGAGAGGAGAGAGAGGAGUUUCAGUAGUUUCAGUAGUUUCAGUAGUUUCAGUAGAGAGAGGAGAGAGAGGAGAGAGAGGAGUUUCAGUAGUUUUAGUAGAGAGAGGAGAGAGAGGAGAGAGAGGAGAGAGAGGAGAGAGGAGAGAGAGGAGAGAGGAGAGAGGAGAGAGAGGAGAGAGAGGAGAGAGAGGAGUUUCAGUAGAGAGAGGAG
Molecule: long non-coding RNA, 927 nt
Filed under: Salmo salar (Atlantic salmon)
Lineage: Eukaryota; Metazoa; Chordata; Actinopteri; Salmoniformes; Salmonidae
Description: lncRNA (ENSSSAG00000086564.1, ENSSSAG00000112963.1)
Source: RNAcentral